This 340-nucleotide unclassified non-coding RNA is filed under the name fungal sp. Its description in RNAcentral is "partial internal transcribed spacer region". Lineage: Eukaryota; Fungi. The record is from RNAcentral.
CACAGGGAGUAGCCCUGCCCCGUCAUGUCCGGACUGGCAGAUAAAAACAUUAUUUCAGGCGACAUGGAUUCUGGUUUUCGAUAAGUCAUUUUGAAAACAAACUUCGACGCUUUGAUGUCAGCAUAAUUAUUGUUAAGAAACGGACGACAUUCUUGCAGUGACCGGUAUCUGGCUAGCCUAUUUCUAAUCGCAUUACGAAACCCUCACCCAUCUUCAAAAGACGGGAACCGAUGAAAAUCCAUUUUUGAUCGGAAUAGCGUAAACAUCAAUCCAACACAAAUUUUCUGCUCGUGACGUUGGAGUGUUAUAUGAAAAACUUCAUUGACAUGAAGAACGCAGC